This 316-nucleotide long non-coding RNA is filed under the name Vigna radiata. RNAcentral's name for it is "long non-coding RNA (VRAD_LNC009633)". The record is from RNAcentral. Lineage: Eukaryota; Viridiplantae; Streptophyta; Magnoliopsida; Fabales; Fabaceae.
AGGUUUCAGGGGAUGGCUAUGGGACUCCAUGCUCAGGAAGCAGUUUCAGAGACCAAAAUCAAAUGAUUCAUCAGGUGAUAACGUACUCUGCUUUGUGGUGUUCGUUAUUUUUCCCGAAUAACUGUUGGUCUAACUCUAACUCUCUUUCAGGUAUGUGAUUUUGGUACAGAAGAUUUGCUAAAGUUAGAGAUACAGCAGCAUGAGGCUCUUUCAGUUGUAUCUUCUUUUUAAUCAAAGCUUUUACUAUAUGGAGGAAGAUCGAUGAAGCAUGGAUUAGAAUAAUCAUUUAUAGUCAGUGUAUCAGUGUUUGGCUUUG